UGGAAAAUCACCAGCUGAAAAGCCAGGUGUGUCUGGCCUCUGGACGGAGUUUCAACAGAGAGGAAUGCAAUGGCGCCCCCAAGUGUUCUUAAGUGGUGUCUGAACACACACACACACACACACACACACACACACACACACACACACACACACACACACACACACACACACACACACACACACACACAACGCAUCAGUUUUCCGCCUUGCAUGCUUGGCUGGUCAGAUUGACUAAAGAGGGAUUACAGGUGUGUGGAGUGAGUUCAAGGCUCAAUAGCGUGCACCGGCAAAGAGACUGAUACAGCCUCAUUCCUGAAUCAACUGAUCAACACGGACUGAUACGUUAACCCAAUACCCUCAUUUAAUCCUAUCAGGCAUCAUGGCAUCAGUAACCUCCCCCAGUGUGAUCAUAAUAGUCAGUGACUGACGACCAGACAGAUGUAAGAGUAACAGAGAUGACAGAAGUAACAGGACCGGUUGAAAACAGGAGACCAGCAAGAAGUCUAAAUAAUAAAAAACAAAAAACAUAACAAUGUUUGCUUACCUCCAGAGCAAGCCAGAGCUGGUCUCCAUUUUUGACAUCCUUCUUGUAGAACAUCCCAAAGAACUUCACUACGUUGGCGUGAUCAGAAAGAGCCUUGAGGAUGUUGUACUCGGCUUCAAUCUCCUCAUCGAUGUCCUGCGAACAGCAAGCCAACAGGUAGAAUGCAGUAAGACUCUUGACUCAGCUUGUUGAGUGCAGGCAAAAAUGAUUCUGAGCUCUUCUCAGGCAGAGCUUAUGAGUAUAGAGGCCUCAGAAGAGCAUAGAUGCAUCAGUAGAGCAUAGAUGCAUCAGUAGAGUAUAGAUGCAUCAGAUGCAGAGCAGACCUCCCAACUUCCAAGACCUACCACGACCCAAAACUUAUAGCCUACAUAAAGGUCUCACCGAGACCUACCACGACCCAAAACUUACAGCCUACAUAAAGGUCUCAGCAAGACCUACCACGACGCAAAUUUUAGAGACUAGAUAAAAGGUCUCAGCAAGGCAUGUUGUACCAGUCAAAAUUGUGCUUUGGGUCAGCAACUAACUUUACGCUAAUGACUAAGUUUUGAGUGUAAUAAAAUCAGUAUAGGAUAGUAGAUGAUUUCCCCACUAGGUCUUUUUUACAGUACAGUGCAUUCAGAAUGUAUUCAUACCCCUUUUUUCACAUUUUCUUAUGUUGCAACCUUAUGCUAAAACUGUUUAAAUUCAUUUUUCCCCUCAUCAAUCUCCACUCAAUAACUCAUGAUGAUAAAGUGAAAACAGGAUUUUAGAAUUUUUUUGCAGAUGUACUAAAAAGGUCAAAUUGAAAUAUCACCUUGACAGUAGGUAUUCAGACCCUUUGCUAUG
Long non-coding RNA from Clupea harengus (Atlantic herring), 1369 nucleotides. NCBI's taxonomy places the organism in Eukaryota, Metazoa, Chordata, Actinopteri, Clupeiformes, Clupeidae. The record is from Ensembl.